GGGUGUCAUGGUUCAGGAAUGACUAAUGUAAGAAAGAUGUUAUGUUCUUUCAUGCACAUCCUAGGUGAUAAAUUAUAUGGAGUAAUAAAGACUGACCAAUAUGAAUAAAGAGGCACUGCAUCACUGAAUGGUAUAAAUCCAUCGAUAGAUAGACCCAAUCUGACAUUACGUAUUUUUUGAGCAAAUAAAGGAUGACAAGCAUCAAAUUUCUUCCAUACCUCACUGUC
This 227-nucleotide long non-coding RNA is filed under the name Elaeis guineensis (African oil palm). Its description in RNAcentral is "long non-coding RNA (EGUI_LNC077140)". The record is from RNAcentral. Lineage: Eukaryota; Viridiplantae; Streptophyta; Magnoliopsida; Arecales; Arecaceae.